UGGCGGAGAACUCCUUAAUUUUUUUGAAGACUAUGGAUCCCGGGGGGUGGAAGAAUCAACAGAAGAUCACAUCACAGGGCCAUGGCCAAGUCCAGCUGGACGUGGACCCGCCGGCCCCACGUCCGUGGAUGUAACCCAGCAGAGAGCAGAGGAUGUAGGAGAUAAAGUUUCUCUGUUCGGGAAGAGAUUGGAAACCAGCUUCAAAGGAAAGAGAGGGGUGUUGUGGUUGAGGUUUGGGUCUCUGAGAAAGACAUCAUUCCAGCCGAAACACUUAACAAACCAAACCCACAGAAUGGGAAAUUCUAGACUCUUUGGUUGAGAGCACCUGGAGCGGGGGUCUUACUGAUCUCUCUCCUCUGGGCUGCAACACUUUCGAUAUGUCUCUCACAGCUUCGGCCUGGAUUAAGCAAGGCCUUUCUUCAUUCUCGGGGGGUUUCUUCUCUGCAACCUGACCACCCCUCGCCAGACUCUAAGCAGUUUAAAUCCAGAGGCCAUUUUUCCCUCUCCCCUGGAAUCCAUCUGAGUUAUGGCAGGUGGCAGCGUAUCCUUAAUGGGGAUGUACUUGACAAACCUGAGUUCCCUUGAAGACUCCUGCAUCCUUCUCAGAGCCCAGCAUUGCAGCGGCCUGAGGCAGAAACUCAACAAAGACCCAUCGAAUGAACAGGCAAUAAUUGGCUGGAAUGGCUCUCUUCCUGGCCAGUUGGAAAACUGAAAUCCCUACGGACUGCUUCCUGUUUUGCUACACCAGCCUCAUUUCUGGAAGAAGGAAAGGUGAGGAUAAAAUCAGACGAGAAAGGACCACGAAAGCAGGGUCUUGAAUGCAAUCUUUCCCUGAGAAAGAGAAGCUGUGGAACAGGAAACAUGCCUGCCUUUUCUUUCUCUCCCAGGCAGCCUGGUUAUUGUGUUUCUAGGCAGAAAAAGACAUACUUCCCAGAGCGGCCCAGAGAAGGGGGUUCAGUAAAAUCUAGGCCUCCAGGUGCUUUCAACCAGAGUCUAUUGGACUUUUGACCUUUUAAAUACUACAAAAAAAAAAAGUUUUUUGUACCUUCUCAUUUAUGAAGUAUAUCCAAGUGGGACAAACCAAAAAUAAAAUGAAGCCCGUCCUUUGAACAAUCAC
Molecule: long non-coding RNA, 1117 nt
Organism: Phacochoerus africanus (Common warthog)
Lineage: Eukaryota; Metazoa; Chordata; Mammalia; Artiodactyla; Suidae
Exons: 2
Source: RefSeq, a predicted model, not a curated record